Molecule: ribosomal RNA, 1059 nt
Filed under: Fellozyma sp. KBP 3851
Lineage: Eukaryota; Fungi; Basidiomycota; Microbotryomycetes; Chrysozymaceae
Also listed under: 1 other name
Description: eukaryotic LSU rRNA
Rfam family: Eukaryotic large subunit ribosomal RNA
Source: RNAcentral
UAAGCGGAGGAAAAGAAACUAACAAGGAUUCCCCUAGUAACGGCGAGUGAAGCGGGAAGAGCUCAAAUUUGUAAUCUGGCACCUUCGGUGUCCGAGUUGUAAUCUCGAGAAGUGUUUUCCGCGCCGGACCGCAUAUAAGUCUGUUGGAAUACAGCGUCAUAGUGGUGAGAACCCCGUAACUGAUGCGGAUGCCCGGUGCUUUGUGAUACACUUUCGAAGAGUCGAGUUGUUUGGGAAUGCAGCUCAAAUUGGGUGGUAAAUUCCAUCUAAAGCUAAAUAUUGGCGAGAGACCGAUAGCGAACAAGUACCGUGAGGGAAAGAUGAAAAGCACUUUGGAAAGAGAGUUAACAGUACGUGAAAUUGUUGGAAGGGAAACGCUUGAAGUCAGACUUGCUAUUUGGAGUUCAGCCGCAAGGUGUAUUCUUCGAUUUGCAGGCCAGCAUCAGUUUUCUGGGGUGGAAAAGGGUAUUGAGAAGGUAGCAGUUUCGGCUGUGUUAUAGCUCUUUGCUGGAUUCAUCCUGGGGGACUGAGGAACGCAGCACGCUUUUUGCAAGGCUCUCGGGCUUUUCGUGCUUAGGAUGCUGGUGGAAUGGCUUUAAACGACCCGUCUUGAAACACGGACCAAGGAGUCUAACAUGCUUGCGAGUGUUUGGGUGUUAAACCCGGACGCGCAAUGAAAGUGAAUGGAGGUGGGAUCCGCAAGGUGCACCAUCGACCGAUCUGGAUUUUCUAAGAUGGAUUUGAGUAAGAGCAAUUAUGUUGGGACCCGAAAGAUGGUGAACUAUUCCUGAAUAGGGCGAAGCCAGAGGAAACUCUGGUGGAGGCUCGUAGCGGUUCUGACGUGCAAAUCGAUCGUCAAAUUUGGGUAUAGGGGCGAAAGACUAAUCGAACCAUCUAGUAGCUGGUUCCUGCCGAAGUUUCCCUCAGGAUAGCAGAAACUCACAUCAGUUCUAUGAGGUAAAGCGAAUGAUUAGAGGCCUUGGGGUUGAAACAACCUUAACCUAUUCUCAAACUUUAAAUAUGUAGGAAGUCCUUGCUACUUAAUUGAGCGAGGACAUG